UACGUAGGUGACAAGCGUUUGUCCGGAUUUACUGGGCGUAAAGAGCGCGCAGGCGGUCGUUCAAGUCGAGUGUGAAAGCCCCCCGGCUCAACUGGGGGAGGGGUCAUUCGAUACUGAUCGACUCGAAGGCAGGAGAGGGUAGUGGAAUUCCCGGUGUAGUGGUGAAAUGCGUAGAUAUCGGGAGGAACACCAGUGGCGAAGGCGACUACCUGGACCAGCACUGACACUGAGGCACGAAAGCGUGGGGGAGCAAACAGG
Molecule: ribosomal RNA, 258 nt
Filed under: uncultured bacterium
Lineage: Bacteria
Description: partial 16S ribosomal RNA
Rfam family: Bacterial small subunit ribosomal RNA
Source: RNAcentral